GCGAAAGUGGCGGAAUUUGGUAUACGCGUUAGAUUUAGAAUCUAAUAUAAUAAAUGUUUAUGAGAGUUCAAAUCUCUCCUUUCGUA
RNAcentral lists this transfer RNA (86 nucleotides) under Nephromyces sp. ex Molgula occidentalis. RNAcentral's name for it is "tRNA-Leu". It matches the Rfam family "tRNA". Rfam says of the family: Transfer RNA (tRNA) molecules are approximately 80 nucleotides in length. Their secondary structure includes four short double-helical elements and three loops (D, anti-codon, and T loops). Further hydrogen bonds mediate the characteristic L-shaped molecular structure. tRNAs have two regions of fundamental functional importance: the anti-codon, which is responsible for specific mRNA codon recognition, and the 3' end, to which the tRNAs corresponding amino acid is attached (by aminoacyl-tRNA synthetases). tRNAs cope with the degeneracy of the genetic code in two manners: having more than one tRNA (with a specific anti-codon) for a particular amino acid; and 'wobble' base-pairing, i.e. permitting non-standard base-pairing at the 3rd anti-codon position. The record is from RNAcentral. Lineage: Eukaryota; Apicomplexa; Aconoidasida; Nephromycida.